Non-coding RNA from Schizosaccharomyces pombe (fission yeast), 277 nucleotides. Lineage: Eukaryota; Fungi; Ascomycota; Schizosaccharomycetes; Schizosaccharomycetales; Schizosaccharomycetaceae. The record is from the annotation of a GenBank genome assembly.
AAAAAGCUUCAGAAGUGCCGCUUAAAUGAUCAUCCCAGUUGAACUGAGAAUUUAUAACAAGUUCGACCCGCACAAGCGAUCUUGUGAUAGGUUGAACAUGUGCUUCGACGCUCAACCUUGGAAAAGACUGAACCAUGUUGUACACACGCCUCCCUUCUUUUGGCACCCCUACUAAUUCUCCUAAUUCAGCAGGGUCCAGAUCAAAGUAUCGCUGCCAAGGAAAUUCCUUUUUCUCAACGCGGCGUAUUACUUCAGAAGGACAAUUGGGAAACUGUCG